Prinia subflava (tawny-flanked prinia) is the source of this 3044-nucleotide long non-coding RNA. RefSeq lists it as uncharacterized. The record is from RefSeq and is a predicted model, not a curated record. Lineage: Eukaryota; Metazoa; Chordata; Aves; Passeriformes; Cisticolidae. The transcript is spliced from 2 exons.
AUGAACAUUUCGAGGUAAAAAUAAGGUUAUAAGUAGUAGGCAGAUGGAAAAUUUUGGGGGAGAAACAUUUGGCUGGGGGAUGAGGGUUAUAAAUAGCCAAUAGUAUGAAAUAGAAAUCUGUCCUUGUCCUGAUCCUGUUGAGCUUCCUGGGGACCUCUGCUGGUUCCUGGCACAGCUGGUGUUCAAUGGCAGCUCUGCAUGGGAAUAUCCACACUCCAGGAGGCACUGGGAGGUUAUUCCAGUGGGAAUUCAGCAGGUGGUGUUGGGCUGUGGGUAUAAUUCCUAUAAACUAGCAAAGCUGAUACUGAACCCCAAAUCUGGGCCCCACCCUGGGAACAAUCUCUGUGCUGCCCUGCCAGCCAAAGCCCCUGGGCUGGGAAAUUUCAGCAGCCAAUCAUUUUUAACAAGCAUUCUUUCUCUACUCUGGAGAUUACCACAAGAUUUACCCUAAAUUUUUUCCGUACCUGUCCACUACCUAUUACCCCAUUUCCACCUUGGUAUUUUCAUUCUUUACUCUAUGGAUGUUUUCAAUUUUCCUCCCCAAUGAUUUCCCUAUCUGUCUGUAACUGAUUAGCUCACUUUACCCCAUGAAGGGCAUUCUCUCUGCUACAAAUCAUCUCAGAUUUUACCCCUGAAUUUUUCUCUACCACCUCUCAGUACCUCAUUUUUACUUCAAAAUAUUAAUUUUCUACUUUGGACAUUCCCACAAGUUUUAUCCCCAGAUUUACCCACCUGUCCACAGCAAUUCCCUCAGGUUACCUCAGUUCCUGCUCUCUCUUAGAGAUAAUCUCACAUUUUACUCAGUCAGUUUUCCCUACCUGCCCCAUACUGAUUACCUACCUCCUUUUUACCCCAAAAUAUCCGUUUUUUUCCUCUACAGACUGACUCAGAUUUUAUUACCAAAAUGUCCAUUUUGUCCCCUGUAUACUAAUUACAUUUUAAAACCAAAACCACACAGGUUAUGUCUCUCAUCCCCAAAAUGUUCAUUCUGUCCCCUGCAAAUUAUGUCUGAUUUUUCUUCCCAAAACACUUAUUGUUCCUACUUAAUUACCUCAGGGUUUGCCCCCCAAAUUCUACCUAAUGUUGAUUCCUGAUCACUUUGUUUCUACCUCAGUAUCUUCAUUCUCUGCCCUAAGGAUCUUCCCAAGUUUUACCCCCAAAAUUUCCUUGCCUACCCCCAGUGACUGCCUCAGUUGAUGUCAGUGUUCCCUCUCUCCCUAGAGAUUAUCUCGAGUUUAACCCCUAAAAUUUCCCUUAGCUCUCCACAACUUAUUACCUCAUUUUUACCUAAAAUAUUCAUUCUCAACCUUUAGAUUAUUUCAAGUUUUGUCCCCCCCAAAUUCCCCUAUAUUGAUUCCCUUAUUUUUCCUUCAAUAUUUACUUUCUACCAUGUGGCUUUUGUCAAGAUUUACCCCUCGAACUGUCCAUUCUGUACCUCAUUUUUACUUCAAAAUGAUCACUCUACAGAUUUUUCUCAUAUAAUUUUUUACCUCAAAUUUUCUCCAUCUGCCCACAACUGAUCCUUUCACAUUACCUCAGUAUGUUCAUGUUCUUUUCUAGAAAUUAGCUCAGAUUAAGCCCCCAAAUUUUCCCUACAUGCUCAGCACUCAUCACCCCAUUUUUGCCUCAAAGUGUUCAUUUUCUACUCUUGACAUUUUUUCAAGUUUUGCCUCCAAAAUUUCCCUUACUUGUCUACUACUGAGUACCUCAUUUUUACUCCAAAAUAUUCAUUCUGUCCCCUAUAGAAUAUAUCAAGUUUUACCCCCAACAUUUUUCUCCUGGUACAAUAUUGAUUAACUCUUUUCUACUCCAAAAAUGUUCACUCUUUCCCCUAAACAUCAUCUCAGCUUUUCCCUCAAAGAUGCCCCCUCGCUCCCCUCCACAUCCCCUCACAUUUUCCUGCACAAACAGUUCUUGUGUCCCCUCUCAACUGCCUCAGGUUUUCAGCCAAAAAUGUCACCUCUGUCCCUUCUAAGUUAUCCCAGGCUUUCCCAGUUAGGAGCUGCAAGGAAUUCAGGCAAAUGACAGCAGGGAACAGCUGUAAAUUCCAAGGCAGAAAGACAAGAUCUACCAGGAAAGGGGAGAGGUUUCAGAAAACAUUUCUGCAAUUAAUAAUUAAUAAUUAUUUCCAAUUUCCCAGUGAGAAGAACAUGAACUCACAGCCAUUGAGGCCUGGCAGUCCCCUGCAGUGAGAGCUCAGUGCACAUCCACAGAGGCAAUUCCAGCAUCUGAAAGAAAGGAAGGAAGAAGAAAAAGGGACUGCUGCAAUCAAACUCUGAAGCUGACAAGCCCCAAAGCUCUUUCUGUCUGCUCUGGAACAAAAGGAUCCUCCAGGGCUGGGGCCCAUUCCCAGCAAACACUCCCAACACGGCCCAGAGGCACCCCUGGAGCUGUGCGUGGGGCUGGCAGGGGCUGCAGGAGGACACAGCCCCAGGGGUGGCAGUGGCAGUGACAGCAGCAAUUCCCAGGCUCUGGUGGCACAGCAGGGACAAAGGCCAGCAAUGCCCACGGGAGGUGCAGGUUUCAUUCUGCUCCCUGCGCUGCCACAGCCCAGCAGGAAAUCUCCAGGGGGACAGAAACUCUCAGGGUGCCCAAAAUGCAGCAUCUGUCCCCCUGAUCCUGGGUGAACUCAGCGUGUGGGGCCAACCCCCACAGGCAAACCCUGCCCUGAGCUGGCUCAGGCUCAGACACUGCCCCAGCUCUCACCUGCAGCUGCUCCCGGGGCUGCCCCCACAUUCCUGACAGGAGCCAAAGGCCCUUUGGGCAGGGCUCUCUCUGUGCCUCAGGCCUUGGGGACUGCAGGGAGCAGGGCAAGGACAGCCUGGAACCAGGGCAGAGCCCUCUGGCUUUGGGACACUCUGGGGACAGCUGGGCACUCACCCCACACCACGGGCAGGCCCAGGGGCCCUCCAGGGCAGGCUGACCGGUCUGUGCCCAUUGGAUUUGGCUGCUCAAACACCAAAGCUUUGGGCAAGGAUGGGAUGAGUUAAGUGGGUUUUCCUGUCCUGAAAGAGAGGAGAAAAUGGAAAUGAAGUCCACUCAAA